Molecule: unclassified non-coding RNA, 332 nt
Filed under: Hevea brasiliensis (rubber tree)
Lineage: Eukaryota; Viridiplantae; Streptophyta; Magnoliopsida; Malpighiales; Euphorbiaceae
Source: RNAcentral
AGAGAGGCCAUAAGAAUUAAAGUGCCUCUAAAAGAAUAUACAAUGUUAUCAACACAAUACAGAACAUAAUAAUCAGAAGAACGUCUGGGUGCUAGUAGCUGUCACAGUACCAAAUCCCACAGAAGAGAUCAAGGCAUGGUAUGGUCCAUCCCAUUGUUAUAAAACCCGAACUGACCCGGCAGGUUGACUAGGUAAACCAGUGACCUGAACGUAAAAUUGAGCCGGUUCUCUUAUUGAACCAGAUAAGAAGUUUAACCGAAAAAAUCCAGAUGACCCAGUGACCCGUUGACCCAGUUAAUUUAAAAUUUUUUUAACUGAAAAUUUUUAAAUAU